Long non-coding RNA from Chelonia mydas (Green sea turtle), 1990 nucleotides. RefSeq lists it as uncharacterized. The transcript is spliced from 3 exons. The record is from RefSeq and is a predicted model, not a curated record. NCBI's taxonomy places the organism in Eukaryota, Metazoa, Chordata, Testudines, Cheloniidae.
UCCCUGAUCUAAUUUGGACUGGCUACUAACAUGGCCAGAAUUACAGAGGGCGCUUUGCUUUGCUUUGCUUUGCCCCUCCCCUUUCUGAUAGACCCACUACUUUGGGAAGGGAAUUAGUCUAUAAAUAGACUGCCUUCCACACACACUCACCUUUUUUUUUUUUUUUUGGUGGGGUGGUUUAAAAUGAACAAAGCUCUUGCAAUAGAAAAAUUGCACCAAUUAAAGAAAGGGAGCCAGGCAAGAAAGAACAGCUGGGGAUAAGGACUGUUAAAUGCUAGGAUAAAGAAAUCUGCACCCUCUCUCUCUAACCAGCCUAACAAGUUAGGGUGUGUGGCAAGGAAAGGCAGGAGGAAAAAAUGAAAGCAUUCUAGCUUGCUCCUUCAGAUCAGAGGCAUUUCACGUCCUGCUUCAUCCUGUGAGGUGCCUCAUGUGGGUAGACCAACUUUCAGGAUUAGAAUUUGUGCCUCUUUUGCUCUUUAUGUAGCAUAGUAGGUAGAAACUGCAGGGAAACACAGGGGUUCCAAAUCACCACAUUUACAUAAUACAGCUCAUUAUGUGACUAGGAGGCUCAUUAAAAUGAGGGACUGAGUGAUGGCACUGCCGAGAGCGAUGUAUCAAGUAAGCAGCUGAUGUGAAAGCCACCUUACUUAGCCAGCGCACCUCAAUCCUGACCUCAGCCUUCUAAUUCCAGGCCUGGGUCCUUCCUAAGCAGAACAUCAGUCAUAUGGGAGAUGUCCUUUCCAGAUUUGCCUCUUCAGCACAGGAAGCAGCUACAGAAGACUGCCUCGAACACUGUGCACGCCUACCUCCUGUUCAUGUGUGGCAGAUUUAGAGGAAGAACCAAAGGGCUAGAGACUUACCACUGUCUCCCAACUCUUCAGACAGGUUUUGAAGUUAUACUGCCUGCAAAGGGUGGCUGAUUUGGACCUUAAGGUUGGUGGAUUGGAAAGACAUGACUUGUGGCGCGCAGAUUUUGUUGGGUUAGGGGAAUCAGCAGUGUCAUUCUAGCUACCUUCAGAAAUGAAAUGCUUCAUGACAGCCACUUAGAAUGGUCUAUACUGAACUACUUAGCUACUGAAAUACCCUAAGCUACUUAGACCCCAAAUUCUGGUCUGAUUUAGAUUUCCUGGUAGCAGCACCAGCUGUCCAGUCAGUGUCUGUAUAAAUGUUAAUAGGAAUUGUGCAUGCAGGGGAAUAAUCCCAGAUGUCUCAUUAAAAUGAAGAAUAUCACCCAGAUAGAAAUAAUCUGACUUUUGCUUCCUGUGCUUAGAUCACAUUUAUAUGUUGUUAUAUAUAUGCAUGAGGACAGUGAUAUAUGAAAAGCCAUUUUAGUUUAAUUCAUGUAAGUCAAUGCAAGCUCUCAUAAAAGUCCAGUAUGUAAAACGUAUGCUGCUUACUCAGCAUUAGCAUAUAAGUGACAGGUUUUUGUUCUGCAUGGGAAGUUAAGCUGACAAUCUUUCCCUGUUCUCUUGUUGUUCCAGGAGUUGCAAGUCAGCACCUCGUGUUGCAAUAGUGCAUGUUGCAACACUCUAAAGUGCUGAUCUCCUCUGAAAAAUGACAGGAUGGGGCUCCACAUAUAUUUUCUUUCAGUGAUUUUCACAUAAUAUUUACUCUGUUCACAUGUCAAAAGAUAAUUUCUUUUUUCGGACCAGAUCUGUGAGUUGAGCCUGGGAUCUGCAAAGCUACCUUGCUCAUCACCAGAGAUAGAGAUUCUCCAGUUAGAACUUAGUUGACAGCUCUGACGAUGUGAAAGGUAGUGCAGGUCUUGCUAAUGCUAGUAAAAGCUUGUUUUUGUCAGUAACAUAAGAGACGCCUGGCCCAGUUGUGCUGAAAAAGGCACAACCGUUUUUAUAAUGUCACUUUUCUGAUCCAAUCCAACAGCGUUCUAGCACAAAGAGCAGGUCUUUCGCUGGUGUAAAUAAGUGUAGUUUCACUGAGGCCAAUCUAGAAGUGGGGGAUUAUUAUAAUUGUUAUUCGUGUUGAGGUAGCA